RNAcentral lists this ribosomal RNA (160 nucleotides) under Capsicum pubescens (rocoto). RNAcentral's name for it is "5.8S ribosomal RNA". It matches the Rfam family "5.8S ribosomal RNA". Rfam says of the family: 5.8S ribosomal RNA (5.8S rRNA) is a component of the large subunit of the eukaryotic ribosome. The record is from RNAcentral. Lineage: Eukaryota; Viridiplantae; Streptophyta; Magnoliopsida; Solanales; Solanaceae.
AAAACGACUCUCGGCAAUGGAUAUCUCAGCUCUCGCAUCGAUGAAGAACGCAGUGAAAUGCGAUACAUGGUGUGAAUUGCAGAAUCCCGUGAACCGUCGACUCUUUCAAUGCAAGUUACGCCCGAAGCCACUAGGCCGAGUGCACGUCUGCCUGGGCGUC